UACGUAGGGGGCAAGUGUUAUCCGGAAUUACUGGGUGUAAAGGGAGCGUAGACGGUAAUGUAAGUCUGGAGUGAAAGGCGGGGGCCCAACCCCCGGACUGCUCUGGAAACUAUGUUACUAGAGUGCAGGAGAGGUAAGCGGAAUUCCUAGUGUAGCGGUGAAAUGCGUAGAUAUUAGGAGGAACACCAGUGGCGAAGGCGGCUUACUGGACUGUAACUGACGUUGAGGCUCGAAAGCGUGGGGAGCAAACAGG
This 253-nucleotide ribosomal RNA is filed under the name uncultured bacterium. Its description in RNAcentral is "partial 16S ribosomal RNA". It matches the Rfam family "Bacterial small subunit ribosomal RNA", at positions 524 to 776 of the family's 1533-position model. The record is from RNAcentral.